AAAAGAACCCCGGCGAGGGGAGUGAAACAGAACCUGAAACCGUGUACGUACAAGCAGUGGGAGCACCUUCGUGGUGUGACUGCGUACCUUUUGUAUAAUGGGUCAGCGACUUAUAUUUUGUAGCAAGGUUAACCGAAUAGGGGAGCCGUAGGGAAACCGAGUCUUAACUGGGCGUCUAGUUGCAAGGUAUAGACCCGAAACCCGGUGAUCUAGCCAUGGGCAGGUUGAAGGUUGGGUAACACUAACUGGAGGACCGAACCGACUAAUGUUGAAAAAUUAGCGGAUGACUUGUGGCUGGGGGUGAAAGGCCAAUCAAACCGGGAGAUAGCUGGUUCUCCCCGAAAGCUAUUUAGGUAGCGCCUCGUGAACUCAUCUUCGGGGGUAGAGCACUGUUUCGGCUAGGGGGUCAUCCCGACUUACCAAACCGAUGCAAACUCCGAAUACCGAAGAAUGUUAUCACGGGAGACACACGGCGGGUGCUAACGUCCGUCGUGAAGAGGGAAACAACCCAGACCGCCAGCUAAGGUCCCAAAGUCAUGGUUAAGUGGGAAACGAUGUGGGAAGGCACAGACAGCCAGGAUGUUGGCUUAGAAGCAGCCAUCAUUUAAAGAAAGCGUAAUAGCUCACUGGUCGAGUCGGCCUGCGCGGAAGAUGUAACGGGGCUAAACCAUGCACCGAAGCUGCGGCAGCGAACGUAUCACUUAAAACGCUUAACGUGACGGCAAAGCCGGCAUGUUCAAGCCACACUAAACGUUGAGUUGGCCGGUGUGCUGACAAACGAACAGGCGUUUUAAGGAUACGUUCGUUGGGUAGGGGAGCGUUCUGUAAGCCGUUGAAGGUGACCUGUGAGGGUUGCUGGAGGUAUCAGAAGUGCGAAUGCUGACAUAAGUAACGAUAAUGCGGGUGAAAAACCCGCACGCCGGAAGACCAAGGGUUCCUGUCCAACGUUAAUCGGGGCAGGGUGAGUCGACCCCUAAGGCGAGGCUGAAAAGCGUAGUCGAUGGGAAACAGGUUAAUAUUCCUGUACUUGGUGUUACUGCGAAGGGGGGACGGAGAAGGCUAGGCUAGCCGGGCGACGGUUGUCCCGGUUUAAGCAUGUAGGCGGAGUGACCAGGUAAAUCCGGUUGCUUAUCAACGCUGAGGUGUGAUGACGAGUCACUACGGUGAUGAAGUAGUUGAUGCCAUGCUUCCAGGAAAAGCCUCUAAGCAUCAGGUAACAUGAAAUCGUACCCCAAACCGACACAGGUGGUCAGGUAGAGAAUACUCAGGCGCUUGAGAGAACUCGGGUGAAGGAACUAGGCAAAAUGGUGCCGUAACUUCGGGAGAAGGCACGCUGGCAUUAGGUAAAGGGACUUGCUCCCGGCGCCGAAGCCAGUCGCAGAUACCAGCUGGCUGCAACUGUUUAAUAAAAACACAGCACUGUGCAAACACGAAAGUGGACGUAUACGGUGUGACGCCUGCCCGGUGCUGGAAGGUUAAUUGAUGGGGUCAGCCGCAAGGCGAAGCUCUUGAUCGAAGCCCCAGUAAACGGCGGCCGUAACUAUAACGGUCCUAAGGUAGCGAAAUUCCUUGUCGGGUAAGUUCCGACCUGCACGAAUGGCGUAAUGAUGGCCAGGCUGUCUCCACCCGAGACUCAGUGAAAUUGAACUCGCUGUGAAGAUGCAGUGUACCCGCGGCAAGACGGAAAGACCCCGUGAACCUUUACUAUAGCUUGACACUGAACAUUGAGCCUUGAUGUGUAGGAUAGGUGGGAGGCAUAGAAGUGUGGACGCCAGUCUGCAUGGAGCCAACCUUGAAAUACCACCCUUUAAUGUUUGAUGUUCUAACUCGGCCCCGUAAUCCGGGGUGAGGACAGUGUCUGGUGGGUAGUUUGACUGGGGCGGUCUCCUCCCAAAGAGUAACGGAGGAGCACGAAGGUUAGCUAAUCACGGUCGGACAUCGUGAGGUUAGUGCAAAGGCAUAAGCUAGCUUGACUGCGAGAGUGACGGCUCGAGCAGGUACGAAAGUAGGUCUUAGUGAUCCGGUGGUUCUGAAUGGAAGGGCCAUCGCUCAACGGAUAAAAGGUACUCCGGGGAUAACAGGCUGAUACCGCCCAAGAGUUCAUAUCGACGGCGGUGUUUGGCACCUCGAUGUCGGCUCAUCACAUCCUGGGGCUGAAGUAGGUCCCAAGGGUAUGGCUGUUCGCCAUUUAAAGUGGUACGCGAGCUGGGUUUAGAACGUCGUGAGACAGUUCGGUCCCUAUCUGCCGUGGGCG
This 2254-nucleotide ribosomal RNA is filed under the name Yersinia enterocolitica. RNAcentral's name for it is "bacterial LSU rRNA". It matches the Rfam family "Bacterial large subunit ribosomal RNA", at positions 517 to 2653 of the family's 2925-position model. The record is from RNAcentral. Lineage: Bacteria; Pseudomonadati; Pseudomonadota; Gammaproteobacteria; Enterobacterales; Yersiniaceae.